This 354-nucleotide ribosomal RNA is filed under the name uncultured bacterium. RNAcentral describes it as "bacterial SSU rRNA". It matches the Rfam family "Bacterial small subunit ribosomal RNA", at positions 137 to 507 of the family's 1533-position model. The record is from RNAcentral.
AGGGGGACAACAGUUGGAAACGACUGCUAAUACCGCAUAAUGCAUAUUGGUCGCAUGGCCGAUAUGCCAAAGAUUAUUCGCUGAAAGAUGGCCUCGCGUCUGAUUAGCUAGUUGGUGAGGUAACGGCCCACCAAGGCGCGAUCAGUAGCCGGACUGAGAGGUUGACCGGCCACAUUGGGACUGAGAUACGGCCCAGACUCCUACGGGAGGCAGCAGUGGGGAAUAUUGGGCAAUGGGCGCAAGCCUGACCCAGCAACGCCGCGUGAAGGAAGAAGGCUUUCGGGUUGUAAACUUCUUUUUGUCGAGGAAGAGUAGAAGACUGUACUCGGCGAAUAAGCCACGGCUAACUACGUG